RNAcentral lists this ribosomal RNA (252 nucleotides) under uncultured microorganism. RNAcentral's name for it is "partial 16S ribosomal RNA". It matches the Rfam family "Bacterial small subunit ribosomal RNA", at positions 524 to 776 of the family's 1533-position model. The record is from RNAcentral.
UACGUAGGUCCCGAGCGUUGUCCGGAUUUAUUGGGCGUAAAGCGAGCGCAGGUGGUUUAAUAAGUCUGAUGUAAAAGGCAGUGGCUCAACCAUUGUGUGCAUUGGAAACUGUUAGACUUGAGUGCAGUAGAGGAGAGUGGAAUUCCAUGUGUAGCGGUGAAAUGCGUAGAUAUAUGGAGGAACACCGGUGGCGAAAGCGGCUCUCUGGACUGUCACUGACGCUCAUGCACGAAAGCGUGGGGAGCAAACAGG